UACAGAGGUCUCAAGCGUUGUUCGGAUUCAUUGGGUGUAAAGGGCGCGUAGGCUGCGGGGCAAGUCGGGUGUGAAAUCUCAGAGCUCAACUCUGAAACUGCACUCGAUACUGCUUUGCUCGAGGACUGGAGAGGAGAUUGGAAUUCACGGUGUAGCAGUGAAAUGCGUAGAUAUCGUGAGGAAGACCAGUGGCGAAGGCGGAUCUCUGGACAGUUCCUGACGCUGAGGCGCGAAAGCGUGGGAGCGAACAGG
This 252-nucleotide ribosomal RNA is filed under the name uncultured bacterium. RNAcentral's name for it is "partial 16S ribosomal RNA". It matches the Rfam family "Bacterial small subunit ribosomal RNA", at positions 524 to 776 of the family's 1533-position model. The record is from RNAcentral.